RNAcentral lists this transfer RNA (514 nucleotides) under Flavobacterium columnare. RNAcentral's name for it is "partial 16S-23S ribosomal RNA intergenic spacer". The stretch from base 291 to 364 matches the Rfam family "tRNA". The record is from RNAcentral. Lineage: Bacteria; Pseudomonadati; Bacteroidota; Flavobacteriia; Flavobacteriales; Flavobacteriaceae.
UGCGGCUGGAUCACCUCCUUUCUAGAGACAAAAAAAGAAAAUAGACCCUUACUCUCGCUGUUAAUUCAAAAAAAGAAAAGACUUAAAAUACAGAGUCUCGUAGCUCAGCUGGUUAGAGUACUACACUGAUAAUGUAGGGGUCGGCAGUUCGAGUCUGCCCGGGACUACAAGUAAAUUUGAAAAUUGAUUAAUUUGAAAAUUUGAAAAUGAUUUAAGUUAAAAAGGAAAUUCUAGGGGUUGAGAGGUUAUGAAUACUCAUAACUCAUAACUAAUAACUCAUCACUAAGAUUGGGGGAUUAGCUCAGCUGGCUAGAGCGCCUGCCUUGCACGCAGGAGGUCAUCGGUUCGACUCCGAUAUUCUCCACCAAAUUGAUUUGAAAAUGAAUUGAUUUGAAAAUUUGAAAAUGAAUAACAUCUUCAAAUUAACGAAUCAUCAAAUCUUCAAAUUGAAUAAAGUUCAUUGACAUAUUGAGAUAAACAUACAAACAAGUAGAAAGAACAUCUUUAGCGAUUA